AUACUGCUUUUGAUUGGACAGAAUUGGUGCCGGAGUAAGGAAGGGGCGGGCCAUCAAGGACCGAGGUGGGUGGGGCUCACGGCGGGUGUGCGGAGUGGGCGGGAAAACGUGGAGCCCGGGGAGAGGCCCCGCUGGGAGUUCUAGUUAGGCUUUGACAGUUGAUGACACCGGAAACUCCGGGGAAACUAAGGCACAGAGAAGUUAGCCUGUGGCUGAGAAGAUUUGAGCUCAGGUCUGUCUGACUGGCUGGUGCCCAGCACUGCCGGGCGACAAGACAGGCAGUUUCUGCAGGCGUGGGACUCACAGUGCGGCUGGUUCCAGCUAGAGGGAUCAUGGAGGUGUCUGUGAAAGAGAAGGUCCUUGAAGGAUACAGAGCAUUUGGCUUUGGGAUAGGGUACUUUUCAGCCAGGACAUUUCAGAGCAAACCAUCAGAGAUCUGCCUGUCCACAAGAGCCAUGUUUUUUUUGCUUUCUUCCUCCACGCUCUAAAUUUCCCAGAGUCUGACCUUCGCAGGGAAGACUAUGAUUUUCCAACACUGCCUGCCACUUAGUGGAGAAGAUUAAUUUGGGGGUUCAGGAGUAGUAAGCCCACUUGUCUUUCAGACCUGAAAGUACAUCUCUAUCAGCUUCGUCAGUAUUAAAGGUGGUAUUUUGAUCUCCCUCUGCCCUACUUCUGUAGCUCUCUCUCAUUUGGUUCUAAACUUGGGUGAGGAUACUCCAAAACCCAACAAUUUCUCAUGGAUGCUGUGAUUGGACUGACUCAGCUCAACUGUUUUCUGUAUCUAUGUAAUUCUACUCAAGAUUCAGAGUCCUGGCUUGGCUUGGAUCUCAUGUUCACCUCCUGGCAAAAGUGGAGAGUACCUUGAUCCACAGUUCCCUCACGCUGCAAGGAAUGGGAAAAGUAGUUCCCCAAAAGCGAAUGAUGACAGUUUCCAAAAUAAGAAGGGAAGAGCUAUUGGGCAUGGAGAAACGACAGAUGUCCACUGCAGGGAGCUAUUGCAAAUGUCCUGGAGAAAGACUGUGAGUGAACUCUCCGAGAGCGGGGAGACCUUGACUGGAUCUUCUGCCGCUAGCAUGGGGCCUGGCAGCUAGUGGUCAUAAUGAAAGCUGGCAUUUGAUGGUGAAGCACCAGGCAUGGCGCUCAAUGCUUUACACAUAGUAAAUCAUUUAAUCUGCAUGACAACUUGAGGAGUCAUGGAAGCCCGUGUUGAGGUGGAGCCUUCAUCGCCCUGGGUCUCUGAGAGGCUGCUUUGAAGAGAGACCCCUAGUUGGUUCAAAUGAGCAUCCAGUACGAGUGAGGAAUUUGUUUUGUUGUCUUAAGCUACUGAGACUUCCCUGGUUGUUUCUUACUGUAGCAAAACCUAGCCCAUCCUAACUGACUGUCCCUCACUGGAGUCGGAAUAAAGGGGCUGGACAGGAGGCUUUUGCCAAGUGGGCCAAGACUGUGGCUAUUGAGUGCCAAUUACCUCCACAGACCAACCGCGCCUCCCACCUGCCAGAGUGCACCCCUUCCUCCGUGCCCUUCUCGCACUUCACAAUCCCACCUGACCUGGCACCCACUUCCCAGUGUCUGUAACAUGCUUCCUGUCCCUUUGCCACACAAACCACAACGCUGAGAUGUGGUUUUCUAAAGAAUUGGCUAAGCUCAAGCCACCUGAACAAGCAGAGCUUUUCAGCCUCUGUUUUGAGGUCAUUGUGACCAAAAGCUGAUUUCCAUACACACCGCCAGCCUUCCAAGGAAAGGCUUAUGAUGUUAACAGCAAUAAAUAUGCACUCAGUUGGGAA
Molecule: long non-coding RNA, 1784 nt
Organism: Equus caballus (horse)
Lineage: Eukaryota; Metazoa; Chordata; Mammalia; Perissodactyla; Equidae
Source: Ensembl